This is a non-coding RNA of Rhodocollybia butyracea, 91 nucleotides long. Lineage: Eukaryota; Fungi; Basidiomycota; Agaricomycetes; Agaricales; Omphalotaceae. The record is from the annotation of a GenBank genome assembly.
GGGCACUUGGCACAGUUGGUAGCGCGCACGCUUCGCAUAACUGAGUAAGAGUUGAUGCGUGAGGUCAGGAGUUCGACUCUCCUAGUGUCCA